This 71-nucleotide transfer RNA is filed under the name Streptomyces sp. Alain-F2R5. RNAcentral's name for it is "tRNA-Met". It matches the Rfam family "tRNA". Rfam says of the family: Transfer RNA (tRNA) molecules are approximately 80 nucleotides in length. Lineage: Bacteria; Bacillati; Actinomycetota; Actinomycetes; Kitasatosporales; Streptomycetaceae. The record is from RNAcentral.
CCGGAGUGAGUCGGAGUGAAAACAGCGGACUCAUAAUCCGUCGGCCGUGGGUUCGAGUCCCACCCGCCCCA